This 253-nucleotide ribosomal RNA is filed under the name uncultured bacterium. RNAcentral describes it as "partial 16S ribosomal RNA". It matches the Rfam family "Bacterial small subunit ribosomal RNA", at positions 524 to 776 of the family's 1533-position model. The record is from RNAcentral.
UACAGAGGGGGCAAGCGUUAUUCGGAAUUAUUGGGCGUAAAGGGCGCGUAGGCGGCCUGGCAAGUGGAAGGUGAAAUCCCUCGGCUUAACCGAGGAACUGCCCUCCAAACUGCUUGGCUUGAGUCCGGGAGAGGUGAGUGGAAUUCCCAGUGUAGCGGUGAAAUGCGUAGAGAUCGGGAGGAACACCUGUGGCGAAGGCGGCCGACUGGGCCGACCCUGACGCUGAGGCGCGAAGGCGUGGGGAGCGAACGGG